RNAcentral lists this ribosomal RNA (3237 nucleotides) under bacterium. RNAcentral describes it as "23S ribosomal RNA". It matches the Rfam family "Bacterial large subunit ribosomal RNA". The record is from RNAcentral.
CAUUAAGUCAAGUAAGAGCAUAUGGUGGAUGCCUUGGGAUUUCAGGCCGAUGAAGGACGUAGUAGGCUGCGAUAAGCUUCGGGGAAGUGUCAAACAACUUUUGAUCCGGAGAUUUCCGAAUGGGGCAACCCGGCUCGAGUUAUGUCGAGUCACUCCGUGCUGAAUACAUAGGCGCGAGAGAGGGUACGCGGUGAACUGAAACAUCUAAGUAACCGCAGGAAAAGAUAUCAACCGAUAUUCCGUAAGUAGUGGCGAGCGAAAGCGGAAAAGCCAAAACUUUUUAUAUGUUAAAGCUUAUGGGCGUUGUAUAAAGAGUGUUGUGAGGUUAACACACUUCAUUUUUGGAGGCUAGGGUUGGGAUACGGGCAAAUUCAAAAUUUAUUUUGAAGAUGUCUAAUUCCAAAACUAGUACCGGAGACCAUAAUCUUCGGGUAAGGUAAAAAAAUUAGAAUUUUAAUGGAAUGUUUCUGGAAAGAACGACCAUAGAGGGUGAUAGUCCCGUACAUGAAAAGAUUCUUGUCCUUAUGUGUUUUCUCUCUAGUACUACGGAGCCCGUGAAACUCUGUAGGAAUCUGGGUGGACCACCAUCCAAGGCUAAAUACCUGAAAUCACCGAUAGUGAACUAGUACCGUGAGGGAAAGGUGAAAAGAACCCCUGUUAGGGGAGUGAAAUAGAAUCUGAAACCGUAUGCUUACAGACGGUCGGAGCCUCGAUUUAUCGGGGUGACGGCGUGCCUUUUGUAGAAUGAGCCAACGAGUUACCUUAUACUUUUUGUCUAAGCCAUUCCGUGGUGGAGGCGUAGGGAAACCGAGUGUUAAUAGCGCGAAAUUUAGAAAGUAUGGGGUAGACCCGAAACCGGGUGACCUAUCCAUGGGCAGGCUGAAGCGGCGUUAAACCGUCGUGGAGGGCCGAACCCACUGGAGUUACAAAUCCAGGGGAUGACCUGUGGAUAGCGGAGAAAUUCCAAUCGAACCCGGAAAUAGCUGGUUCUCUCCGAAAUAGCUUUAGGGCUAGCGUCAUAAAUUCGCUUUUGGAGGUAGAGCACUGAAUGGGCUAGGGGGCGUAUAGCUUACCAAACCCAAAUAAACUCCGAAUUCCGAAAGUUUUAUUAUGGCAGUCAGAACACGGGGGCUAAGCUCCGUGCUCAAAAGGGAAACAGCCCAGAUCGCCAUCUAAGGUCCCAAAGUCUAUGCUAAGUGGGGAAGGAUGUGAGACCGCAUAAACAACCAGGAGGUUGGCUUAGAAGCAGCCAUGCCUUUAAAGAGUGCGUAAUAGCUCACUGGUCUAUUGUAGUCUUGCGCCGAAAAUAUAACGGGGCUAAGCAUAGCACCGAAGAUGCGAACUUCAUAUUUAUAUGGAGUGGUAGGAGAGCGUUCCAUUCAGCAGUGAAGCCAAACUGGAAAGUUUGGUGGAGCGGAUGGAAGUGAGAAUGUUGGCAUGAGUAACCUGAAGGCCGAUGAAAAAUCGGCCCAUCGUAAACCCAAGGUUUCCUGGGCAACGUUGAUCGUCCCAGGGUUAGUCGGGCCUAAGCCGAGGCCGAAAGGCGUAGGCGAUGGACAGCAGGUUGAUAUUCCUGCACUGUUUAUAGUGUUCCCAUCAGUGACGCAGGAUGGUAGCCGGAGCAUCUUUAUGGCUAUAGAUGUCUAAGUGUCUAGUCCCCUUCGGGGGCCGAAGCAUGAAUGAAAUCUCCGUAAAACGAGAAAUUCCGGUAAGCCAAACUGACUAGAAAAGCUGUUGAUUAAUAGCUAUAAGCAACCGUACCGCAAACCAACACAGGUGGGUGGGUAGAGAAUACCAAGAUGAUCGGGAGAACCCUCGUUAAGGAACUCGGCAAAUCAGCGGGCGUAACUUCGGGAUAAGCCCUGCCUGAGUGUGCCGCUUUGUUCCUGAGAAUGAGGUGAAGAAAAAUAGAAAGAAGAAAUGUUGAGACAUCCUAUUAGUUUAGGAAAAGACAAAAAACUCGGGAGCUAAGCGGCGCAUUCAGGUCGCAGCGAAUGAGUCCAGGCGACUGUUUACCAAAAACACAGGUCUCUGCUAAAUCGCAAGAUGAAGUAUAGGGACUGACGCCUGCCCAGUGCUGGAAGGUUAAGUGGAGGGGUGAGAGCUCUGAAAUGAAGCCCCAGUAAACGGCGGCCGUAACUAUAACGGUCCUAAGGUAGCGAAAUUCCUUGUCGGGUAAGUUCCGACCCGCACGAAUGGCGGAACGGUCUGGACACUGUCUCAACGAGGGACCCGGUGAAAUUGCAAUAGCGGUAAAGAUGCCGUUUACCCGCGACAAGACGGAAAGACCCCGUGGAGCUUUACUACAGCUUGGCAUUGGAUUAGGGUAUUACUUGUGUAGGAUAGGUGGGAGACUUUGAAACCGGAACGCUAGUUUCGGUGGAGUCGUCCUUGAAAUACCACCCUUGUGAUGUUUUGAUUCUAACCUGGACCGAAAAUUGGAAACAAUUUUCUUCCAAGUUCAAGUUGCUAGAAAGUUACUACAAAUGUAAAUUUUUUCCAAGAUAACUUUAGCAACUUUUGAACUACAUAAGAACUAACGAAACUGAAAUUGCUUGCAAUUUCCGGUUCGGGAACAGUGUCUGGUGGGUAGUUUGACUGGGGCGGUCGCCUCCUAAAUAGUAACGGAGGCGUUCAAAGGUAGGCUAGGUCUGGAUGGAAAUCAGACUGAUAGUGCAAACGCAUAAGCCUGCUUGACUGCAAGACCUACAAGUCGCGCAGAGACGAAAGUCGGAGUUAGUGAUCUUUUGUGUGCACGUGGGUGCCACAUUGCUUAACGGAUAAAAGCUACCCCGGGGAUAACAGGCUAAUAGUGUCCAAGAGUCCACAUCGACGACACUGUUUGGCACCUCGAUGUCGGCUCGUCCUAUCCUGGGGCUGAAGCAGGUCCCAAGGGUUUGGCUGUUCGCCAAUUAAAAGGGUACGCGAGCUGGGUUCAGAACGUCGUGAGACAGUUCGGUCCCUAUCUGUCGUGGGCGUUGAAACUUGAGGAGAUCUGUCCCUAGUACGAGAGGACCGGGAUGGACCAACCUAUGGUGUACCAGUUGUUCUGCCAAGAGCAUCGCUGGGUAGCUACGUUGGGAAUGGAUAAGCGCUGAAAGCAUAUAAGCGCGAAACCAACUUCGAGAUUAGGUUUCGUUAUUAGAUCCCUUAUAGACCAUGAGGUUGAUAGGCUCUAGGUGUAAGUGCAGUAAUGCACUCAGCUGAGGAGUACUAAUAGAUCAAUGACUUAAUAAA